CACGAACUGCGCGAACGUUAUUCGGAAUCACUGGGCUUAAAGAGUUCGUAGGCGGCAUGGUAGGUGGGGUGUGAAAUCCCUCGGCUCAACCGAGGAACUGCGCCCCAAACCCCCAUGCUCGAGGGAGACAGAGGAAAGCGGAACUGAUGGUGGAGCGGUGAAAUGCGUUGAUAUCAUCAGGAACACCGGUGGCGAAAGCGGCUUUCUGGGUCUUUUCUGACGCUGAGGAACGAAAGCUAGGGGAGCGAACGGG
RNAcentral lists this ribosomal RNA (253 nucleotides) under uncultured bacterium. RNAcentral describes it as "partial 16S ribosomal RNA". It matches the Rfam family "Bacterial small subunit ribosomal RNA", at positions 524 to 776 of the family's 1533-position model. The record is from RNAcentral.